CUGGCGGUAUGCCUUAGACAUGCAAGUCGAACGAGUUUCCGGGCUUGCUCGGAAAUUAGUGGCGAACGGCUGAGUAACGCGUAGGUGACCUACCCCGUAGUGUGGAAUAACUGCCCGAAAGGGUAGCUAAUACCGCAUGUUGAGCCGACAUCAAUGUCGUCUCCAAAGCAGAAAUGCGCUAUGGGCGGGGCCUGCGUUCGAUUAGCUAGUUGGUGGGGUAAUGGCUCACCAAGGCGACGAUCGAUAGGUGGUCUGAGAGGACGAUCACCCAGACUGGGACUGAGACACGGCCCAGACUCCUACGGGAGGCAGCAGUCGGGAAUUUUGCGCAAUGGGGGAAACCCUGACGCAGCAAUACCGCGUGUGGGAUGAAGGCCUUCGGGUCGUAAACCACUUUUUUCGGGGACGAUAAUGACGGUACCCGAAGAAUAAGCCACGGCUAACUACGUGCCAGCAGCCGCGGUAAUACGUAGGUGGCAAGCGUUGUCCGGAUUUACUGGGCGUAAAGCGCGCGCAGGCGGUGAAUGAAGUCGGAAGUGAAAGCCCCGAGCUCAACUCGGGAACUGCUUUCGAAACCAGUUCACUUGAAGGUGGAAGAGGGAAGUGGAAUUCCGAGUGUAGCGGUGGAAUGCGUAGAUAUUCGGAGGAACACCAGAGGCGAAGGCGACUUCCUGGUCCAAUCUUGACGCUGAGGCGCGAAAGCUAGGGGAGCAAACAGGAUUAGAUAUCCUGGUAGUCCUAGCUGUAAACGAUGGAUACUAGGUGU
Molecule: ribosomal RNA, 766 nt
Filed under: uncultured Thermomicrobium sp.
Lineage: Bacteria; Pseudomonadati; Thermomicrobiota; Thermomicrobia; Thermomicrobiales; Thermomicrobiaceae
Description: bacterial SSU rRNA
Rfam family: Bacterial small subunit ribosomal RNA
Source: RNAcentral